AUGACUGUGGCGAAAUUGGUAUACGCGUUUAGUUUAGGUCUAAAUUAUUAAGGGUUCGAGUCCCUUCAGUCAUA
Molecule: transfer RNA, 74 nt
Filed under: Insectozyma corydali
Lineage: Eukaryota; Fungi; Ascomycota; Pichiomycetes; Serinales; Debaryomycetaceae
Description: Candida corydali tRNA-Leu
Rfam family: tRNA
About the family: Transfer RNA (tRNA) molecules are approximately 80 nucleotides in length.
Source: RNAcentral